GACGUAGGGCGCGAGCGUUGUCCGGACUUAUUGGGCGUAAAGAGCUCGUAGGCGGUUUGUCGCGUCGUUCGUGAAAACUCACAGCUUAACUGUGAGCUUGCGGUCGAUACGGGCAGGCUAGAGUUCGGUAGGGGAGACUGGAAUUCCUGGUGUAGCGGUGAAAUGCGCAGAUAUCAGGAGGAACACCGGUGGCGAAGGCGGGUCUCUGGGCCGAUACUGACGCUGAGGAGCGAAAGCGUGGGGAGCGAACAGG
This 253-nucleotide ribosomal RNA is filed under the name uncultured bacterium. RNAcentral describes it as "partial 16S ribosomal RNA". It matches the Rfam family "Bacterial small subunit ribosomal RNA", at positions 524 to 776 of the family's 1533-position model. The record is from RNAcentral.